RNAcentral lists this ribosomal RNA (327 nucleotides) under Triticum aestivum (bread wheat). Its description in RNAcentral is "partial small subunit ribosomal RNA". Lineage: Eukaryota; Viridiplantae; Streptophyta; Magnoliopsida; Poales; Poaceae. The record is from RNAcentral.
AUGGAGCACCUCCUAGCGGGUUGCCCCUUCUCGAGGCAGAUUAGGCACAGAUGUCUGGCUUGGUGCACCCCUCCAGUUCAUGCGCCGACCGUUGGCACUCGGUUCCUUGACUGGUGGCACACCACCACGUCCAGCGCCCCGGUGGCACACAGGAAGGGCCUCUCCUCACUCAUCUUGCUCAUCGCUUGGUCCAUUUGGAGGCACCGCAACCAUUGCGUGUUUGACGGCGGCACCCCCUCAGCCACACAGCUAUGCCGAGACAUCCGCGAAGAAGCGAGCUCCUGGAUCAAGGCAGGAGCGACUGGGUUAGCCACCAUAGCACCAUAG